GACGAACGCUGGCGGCGUGCCUAAUACAUGCAAGUACAACGCUGAAGAGAGGAGCUUGCUCUUCUUGGAUGAGUUGCGAACGGGUGAGUAACGCGUAGGUAACCUGCCUUGUAGCGGGGGAUAACUAUUGGAAACGAUAGCUAAUACCGCAUAACAAUGGAUGACACAUGUCAUUUAUUUGAAAGGGGCAAUUGCUCCACUACAAGAUGGACCUGCGUUGUAUUAGCUAGUAGGUGAGGUAACGGCUCACCUAGGCGACGAUACAUAGCCGACCUGAGAGGGUGAUCGGCCACACUGGGACUGAGACACGGCCCAGACUCCUACGGGAGGCAGCAGUAGGGAAUCUUCGGCAAUGGGGGCAACCCUGACCGAGCAACGCCGCGUGAGUGAAGAAGGUUUUCGGAUCGUAAAGCUCUGUUGUAAGUCAAGAACGAGUGUGAGAGUGGAAAGUUCACACUGUGACGGUAGCUUACCAGAAAGGGACGGCUAACUACGUG
This 497-nucleotide ribosomal RNA is filed under the name uncultured bacterium. RNAcentral's name for it is "partial 16S ribosomal RNA". It matches the Rfam family "Bacterial small subunit ribosomal RNA", at positions 28 to 507 of the family's 1533-position model. The record is from RNAcentral.